UUUACUUUUUAAAAAAUGUUUUUAUUGUUAAAUGAAAACAUAUUAUAAUAAUUGCAUAAAAACAUAAGUAUGCUGUUUAAUGAAUUACUAUAAUAGGAACACUGUAUAAUCACCAAUCAAGGUCAAGAAGUAGAAUAUUGGUAGGGCUCAGAAGCACCCCUACCUCCAUGCCCAUCCCCAUCCACAGCUUCCUCUCUUCUUAAGUGUAGUCCCUUCCUGACAUUUAUGGGUAAUACGUAGUCACAUUUUUGUUCUGUUUAUUCUCUAUUUUUUAUUUUUAUUUUUAUUUUAGAGACAGGGUCUCAAUCUGCCACCCAGCCUGGAGUGCACUGGCACCAUCAUAGCUCACUGCUGAUUCAAACUCCUAGGCUCAAGCAACUCUCCAUCUCAGCCUCCCAAGUAGCUGGGAUUACAGGGAGCUCCCAUGUUCAUGGAAGUGACAAAGAAUUUCAGUCCAGUGUGAUAAGAGGUGUGAUAGAGAUAAGUACCAUGUGCUCCACACCAGAGAGAAGGUGUUCCUAACUCAAGCUUGGGGAUGGGGCAAUGAUCGGAUUCCUGGAGGAGGUGCUACUGAGUUGUGUCUUGAAGCAUGAAUAAGAUAUGGCAGACUAAUAAAGAAAGAUAUGGCAGCCUUAGAGCCUUAGAUGGCACAUGGUCCCUGGAGACCUGCUGAAGAGACCAUAUGAUGGAAUCCUGAGAGUUCUCAGAAGCACCUGUUUAACCUCACUUCCAGUUUCCUGCCAUUAUCCAGAAAAGGAAGACCACUAAUUAAGAGGUAAAUGGCAGUUUUAUAUUUUCAUGGUUAAAUAACACAGACUUUUAGUGCUUAAAGGAACUAGUGUUAUACCCUUCAUUAUGAACACAAGAAAAUGAGUUCUAGAAUAAGUGUCCAUAGCUUCAGUGCCACAUAUUAAUAGGGAGUCAGAAAGCCUCCUCAGAUAACAUGUGAAAGAAGUGUGCCCAAACACUACAGAAGACUGGAGAACAGGACUGUCUUGUAACAUGACAGAAAGCAUGUCAAUUUGGGAGGCAGAAGGACUGCAAUUCAAAUGGCUCUAUACCUAUUAGCUGGCUCUACCCCUAAAUGGCUGGAUUAUCGGAGGCAAAUUGGUUAACUUAUCAGGUUCUCAGUUUCUACAUUUGAAAAAUGAGGAUAGUGACAACUAAUUUUCAGUUGUUGGAGAAUUAGAAAUAAUAUAUGAAUAAUGUAUAUUGUAGAUCCAAACACUAAUCACAGCUGAGUUGUGUAGUAAAUGCUGAUUAAUUUUAAAUAGUAUUCCUAAGUAUAAAAAUAACAUACAUGUAAUAUAUAAUAUAGAUAAAAGCUAUAUUUAUAUAUAGAUAAAAGUUUAUUUAUAUUUUGAUAUAUAUAAGCUUUUUUAUAUAUUUUAAUUUUAAUGUAAUUGAUCAGUAUUCUCCUUUAAGUAAUAUACACAU
Homo sapiens (human) is the source of this 1437-nucleotide long non-coding RNA. RefSeq lists it as uncharacterized. The transcript has 4 exons. The record is from RefSeq and is a predicted model, not a curated record. NCBI's taxonomy places the organism in Eukaryota, Metazoa, Chordata, Mammalia, Primates, Hominidae.